Triticum urartu is the source of this 126-nucleotide non-coding RNA. Lineage: Eukaryota; Viridiplantae; Streptophyta; Magnoliopsida; Poales; Poaceae. The record is from Rfam.
CUCGUACUCCCUCCGUCUGGAAAUACUUGUCAUCAAAAAGGGAUGUAUCUAGACGUAUUUUAGUUCUAAAUACAUCCAUUUUUAUCCAUUUUGAUGACAAGUAUUUCCGAACGGAGGGAGUACCUG